Molecule: small nuclear RNA, 106 nt
Organism: Marmota marmota marmota (Alpine marmot)
Lineage: Eukaryota; Metazoa; Chordata; Mammalia; Rodentia; Sciuridae
Source: Ensembl
GUGCUCACUUUGGCAGCACAUAUACUAAAAUUAGAAUGAUACAGAGAAGAUUAGAUGGUCCCUGCGCAAUGAUGACAUGCAAAUUCAUGAAGCAUUCCAUGAAAAA